RNAcentral lists this ribosomal RNA (468 nucleotides) under uncultured bacterium. RNAcentral describes it as "partial 16S ribosomal RNA". It matches the Rfam family "Bacterial small subunit ribosomal RNA", at positions 28 to 507 of the family's 1533-position model. The record is from RNAcentral.
AACGAACGCUGGCGGCGUGCUUAACACAUGCAAGUCGAACGGAAAGGCCCGGCUUUUGUGCGCUGCUCGAGUGGCGAACGGGUGAGUAACACGUGGGUACCCUGCCCUUGACUUUGGGGUAACUUCAGGAAACUGGGGCUAAUCCCGGCUAGGAUCUCCUGCUUCAGGGUGGGGGUUCGUAAGUUUCGGCGGUUGGUGGUGGACUGGCGGCUUAUCGGCUUGGUGGUGGGGUAGUGGAUUACCAAGGCUUUGAACGGUAGCCGGCCUGCGCGGGGGACAGGCCCCACUGGGAUUGAGAUACGGCCCAGACUCGAACGGGAGGCAGGGGUGGGGAAGAGUACACAAGGGGCGGAAGGCUGAUGCGGCAAAGCCGCGUGGGGGAUGACGGGCUUCGGGUUGGAAACCGAUGUCGCUUGUGACGAAGCGUGAGUGACGGUAAUGGGUAAAGAAGCACCGGCUAACUACGUG